GUGAUCCCUAGAGUUCCCUUGACCACUUCAUUAGGAAUUAAUUACUUCAUUUUUAAUGUCCUACUGAAGUGUUUGGGGGAACUCCUGGGUUCAC
Solanum tuberosum (potato) is the source of this 94-nucleotide non-coding RNA. The record is from Rfam. Lineage: Eukaryota; Viridiplantae; Streptophyta; Magnoliopsida; Solanales; Solanaceae.